This 436-nucleotide ribosomal RNA is filed under the name uncultured bacterium. RNAcentral describes it as "bacterial SSU rRNA". It matches the Rfam family "Bacterial small subunit ribosomal RNA", at positions 30 to 473 of the family's 1533-position model. The record is from RNAcentral.
UUGAACGCUGGCGGCAUGCCUAACACAUGCAAGUCGAACGGGGUAGCAAUACCCAGUGGCGGACGGGUGAGGAAUACAUAGGAAUUUGCCUUUAGGUGGGGGAUAGCCCGGGGAAACUCGGAGUAAUACCGCAUGAUGUCGAAAGACCAAAGCAGGGGAUCGCAAGACCUUGCGCCCUUAGAGAAGCCUAUGUCUGAUUAGCUAGUUGGUAGGGUAAUGGCCUACCAAGGCGACGAUCAGUAACUGGUCUGAGAGGACGAUCAGUCACACCGGAACUGAGACACGGUCCGGACUCCUACGGGAGGCAGCAGUGGGGAAUAUUGGACAAUGGGCGAAAGCCUGAUCCAGCAAUGCCGCGUGUGUGAAGAAGGCCUUCGGGUUGUUAAAGCACUUUAGGUCGGGAGAAAAGACUUCACCUAAUACGUGAAGCCUUGAC